RNAcentral lists this ribosomal RNA (771 nucleotides) under uncultured Vagococcus sp. RNAcentral's name for it is "bacterial SSU rRNA". It matches the Rfam family "Bacterial small subunit ribosomal RNA", at positions 28 to 776 of the family's 1533-position model. The record is from RNAcentral. Lineage: Bacteria; Bacillati; Bacillota; Bacilli; Lactobacillales; Enterococcaceae.
GACGAACGCUGGCGGCGUGCCUAAUACAUGCAAGUCGAACGCACGAAGUUGAAGAGCUUGCUCUUUAACCAAGUGAGUGGCGGACGGGUGAGUAACACGUGGGUAACCUACCCAUUAGAGGGGGAUAACAUUCGGAAACGGAUGCUAAUACCGCAUAGUUUCAGGAAUCGCAUGAUUCGUGAAGGAAAGGUGGCUUCGGCUACCACUAAUGGAUGGACCCGCGGCGUAUUAGCUAGUUGGUGAGGUAAUGGCUCACCAAGGCAAUGAUACGUAGCCGACCUGAGAGGGUGAUCGGCCACACUGGGACUGAGACACGGCCCAGACUCCUACGGGAGGCAGCUUUAGGGAAUCUUCCGCAAUGGGCGAAAGUCUGACGGAGCAACGCCGCGUGAGUGAAGAAGGUUUUCGGAUCGUAAAACUCUGUUGUUAAAGAAGAACAAGGAUGAGAGUAACUGCUCAUCCCCUGACGGUAUUUAACCAGGAAGCCACGGCUAACUACGUGCCAGCAGCCGCGGUAAUACGUAGGUGGCAAGCGUUGUCCGGAUUUAUUGGGCGUAAAGCGAGCGCAGGCGGUUCUUUAAGUCUGAUGUGAAAGCCCCCGGCUCAACCGGGGAGGGUCAUUGGAAACUGGAGAACUUGAGUGCAGAAGAGGAGAGUGGAAUUCCACGUGUAGCGGUGAAAUGCGUAGAUAUGUGGAGGAACACCAGUGGCGAAGGCGACUCUCUGGUCUGUAACUGACGCUGAGGCUCGAAAGCGUGGGGAGCAAACAGG